UGUGUGCGAGUCAACGGGU
This 19-nucleotide small nuclear RNA is filed under the name Arabidopsis thaliana (thale cress). Its description in RNAcentral is "snRNA_06195". The record is from RNAcentral. Lineage: Eukaryota; Viridiplantae; Streptophyta; Magnoliopsida; Brassicales; Brassicaceae.